AGCUUGCUCACUGCAGAGGAAGACGUGUCCAUCAGACCUGAGCCCAAGGCCAUUUCUCACAGGACCUAAGUCAACUACUGGCCCAGCUAACACUCAGAAAACUCAGAGACCAACACCAUUUUCACAGAGAAGACCCAGCAAGGGAGUGGCUAGACCAUGCUUUCAUCACUAGCAACGCUGGGCCUCUAGCUCAUCAGCCUAGGUGUGAAAUCCCCCAGCAGGGACCUCCAGGCCCACACCUGAACAGGACACUGACGAGGGCAGCGCAUGACAGGGAAAGAUGGAGGAAACACAAGUGAGAAAGAGCUCAAGGGGUUCCUGGAAGACCUUUGCGGACAACUUUACACUGAGGCUGAACUGAUUCAGAAUUCUAAGCCAAAGGGCACAAAGACUCAGAACUUGACUGGAUUUUAGAAUUUCAACUUUUCAAUUCCUACCAAUUCGGGAAUCUACAAUUCUGCAAGAGAGUUGGAUAAAUAACCACCGCAUGUUGCCAACCCAAAGGCUCAAGAAAUCCCCAUGUGGGAGCUCACUGGCUUCUCUGCUUGGCCAAGUCACACGCAUGCUGGAGGGGCCCAGGGUCUGGACUGGGGCUGUGUGAACAGGUCCCACAGCAUCCCCACUCAGAAUCACCACCUGGUGAUUCAAACAGCCCUAACAAUGACAGGGCAUCAUACCUGUGGUCAGAACCCAGUGUGGAUUCCUAGAAGAAGAGCGCUUUUUUCAGGAACACAGAUCUGAUUUUCAGAGAUAGCUGAGAAAGGGAACAUAUCGAAGGCCUUAAGGAAGGUCAGGAGCAGGACCAGUGGGACCUGAGGUAAAAUGGAUCAGGAAAGGUUGGGGCUACAGGGCCUGCUCACCCCAGGAGGAGUGCAAGUGGAUCCUCCCAGCAAGAAGUGGGAAUGUUACAGCAAUUUUAGGUUUAUUGGAGGCAAAGAAAUAGUGGCACUCAGAGAAGUGGAGGAAACCAAGCUUUAUUACUCAGACAGACUCAGAAGAGCUAUGUACUCCAAAGUGUGAGCUCCGAAGUGUGUAGGAAGUUACUUUUAUACUGUGUAUCAGGCAGGAUGGAGAUCUUUUGUGAACUAGAGGAACUUCACAAACAUGGGAACAAACUAGAAACAGAAACAGGCCAGGUACAGCUUGUGCCUCUGGUACAAGUUUGUUUGCAGAAGUGGAAGAAACACUGCAAACUAUUGAUAUAUCAGGGUUUUGAAACAUUUUGAACACAAAAAUUCUUCUACAGGAAGAGGUUUGGUUCUCCCUGCAGUCAGAAGAACACAGGCCUAGGCAGCCUCUUGGUGUCAUUGCCACAUCUGGGUGAGAAGUGAAGCUGCUCUGGACAGGAGCUGUGAGUGUUUCCUGCUGUGAUUGCUGCGGGAGCCACGCUGCCCCGUCAUCUCACUCCCCUGCUCACUGAAAGGUCACUACGCCACAGCACAUGGGGGAAGCUGCCAAAGCCUGGAGGAAACUGGGUCAAGUGCUUCAGGAAAAAAGGGAUUUCCAAUCGGGUUCUUCCUUGUCCUGAAAAUAGAGGUGUGGGGGGGGGGGGCAUAGCCCAGGUAGAUUCCCUGGGCUGGACCACACACACACACACACACAC
Long non-coding RNA from Chinchilla lanigera (long-tailed chinchilla), 1603 nucleotides. RefSeq lists it as uncharacterized. The record is from RefSeq and is a predicted model, not a curated record. Lineage: Eukaryota; Metazoa; Chordata; Mammalia; Rodentia; Chinchillidae. The transcript has 3 exons.